Molecule: unclassified non-coding RNA, 337 nt
Filed under: soil metagenome
Description: partial contains 5.8S ribosomal RNA, internal transcribed spacer 2, and large subunit ribosomal RNA
Rfam family: 5.8S ribosomal RNA (bases 1-120)
Source: RNAcentral
GAUGAAGAACGUAGUGAAACGCGAUAAGUAAUGUGAAUUGCAGAAUUCAGUGAAUCAUCGAAUCUUUGAACGCACAUUGCGCCCGCCAGUAUUCUGGCGGGCAUGCCUGUUCGAGCGUCAUUUCAACCAUCAAGCCCCCGGGCUUGUGUUGGGGACCUGCGGCUGCCGCAGGCCCUGAAAAGCAGUGGCGGGCUCGCUGUCACACCGAGCGUAGUAGAUUUUAUCUCGCUCUGGGCGUGCUGCGGGUUCCGGCCGUUAAACCACCCUUUUAACCCAAGGUUGACCUCGGAUCAGGUAGGAAGACCCGCUGAACUUAAGCAUAUCAAUAAGCGGAGGA